This 62-nucleotide transfer RNA is filed under the name Uroctonus mordax (western forest scorpion). RNAcentral describes it as "tRNA-Tyr". The record is from RNAcentral. Lineage: Eukaryota; Metazoa; Arthropoda; Arachnida; Scorpiones; Chactidae.
GGUUAUAUGACUGAAAUAUAAGUAUUGAAUUGUAAACUCAAAAAUGGAAAAUCCUGUAACCA